This 150-nucleotide unclassified non-coding RNA is filed under the name uncultured fungus. RNAcentral's name for it is "sequence contains ITS1". The record is from RNAcentral. Lineage: Eukaryota; Fungi.
UUGAACUUGAUUUACAUUCAGACAUGGGGCUCAUGGGCUUCAUAAGGGUGACGUCAAGGCGUCAAACCACCGCUCGCCUCCACGGGUUUGAGGGUCGGAGGCCCAUCGGGCCUUUCAUUAAUGAUCCCUCCGCAGGUUCACCUACGGAGA